Molecule: ribosomal RNA, 595 nt
Filed under: uncultured bacterium
Lineage: Bacteria
Description: bacterial SSU rRNA
Rfam family: Bacterial small subunit ribosomal RNA
Source: RNAcentral
UAUGAGAGCGGCGUACGGGUGCGUAACACGUGUGCAACCUGCCUUUAUCUGGGGGAUAGCCUUUCGAAAGGAAGAUUAAUACCCCAUAAUAUAUUGAUUGGCAUCAAUUAAUAUUGAAAGCUCCGGCGGAUAGAGAUGGGCACGCGUAAGAUUAGCUAGUUGGUGAGGUAACGGCUCACCAAGGCUGCGAUCUUUAGGGGGCCUGAGAGGGUGAUCCCCCACACUGGUACUGAGACACGGACCAGACUCCUACGGGAGGCAGCAGUGAGGAAUAUUGGACAAUGGGUGAAAGCCUGAUCCAGCCAUCCCGCGUGAAGGACUAAGGACCUAUGGUUUGUAAACUUCUUUUAUACAGGGAUAAACCUACUCUCGUGAGGGUAGCUGAAGGUACUGUAUGAAUAAGCACCGGCUAACUCCGUGCCAGCAGCCGCGGUAAUACGGAGGGUGCAAGCGUUAUCCGGAUUUAUUGGGUUUAAAGGGUCCGUAGGCGGGUCGAUAAGUCAGUGGUGAAAGCCUGCAGCUUAACUGUAGAACUGCCGUUGAUACUGUCGGUCUUGAGUGUAUUUGAGGUAGCUGGAAUGAGUAGUGUAGCGGU